GAUGAACGCUGGCGGCGUGCCUAAUACAUGCAAGUCGAGCGAACAGGCGAGGAGCUUGCUCCUCUGACGUUAGCGGCGGACGGGUGAGUAACACGUGGAUAACCUACCUAUAAGACUGGGAUAACUUCGGGAAACCGGAGCUAAUACCGGAUAAUAUAUUGAACCGCAUGGUUCAAUAGUGAAAGACGGUUUUGCUGUCACUUAUAGAUGGAUCCGCGCCGCAUUAGCUAGUUGGUAAGGUAACGGCUUACCAAGGCAACGAUGCGUAGCCGACCUGAGAGGGUGAUCGGCCACACUGGAACUGAGACACGGUCCAGACUCCUACGGGAGGCAGCAGUAGGGAAUCUUCCGCAAUGGGCGAAAGCCUGACGGAGCAACGCCGCGUGAGUGAUGAAGGUCUUCGGAUCGUAAAACUCUGUUAUUAGGGAAGAACAAAUGUGUAAAUAACUAUGCACGUCUUGACGGUACCUAAUCAGAAAGCCACGGCUAACUACGUG
Molecule: ribosomal RNA, 497 nt
Filed under: uncultured bacterium
Lineage: Bacteria
Description: partial 16S ribosomal RNA
Rfam family: Bacterial small subunit ribosomal RNA
Source: RNAcentral